RNAcentral lists this ribosomal RNA (429 nucleotides) under Gemmatimonadota bacterium. RNAcentral's name for it is "Gemmatimonadetes bacterium partial 16S ribosomal RNA". It matches the Rfam family "Bacterial small subunit ribosomal RNA", at positions 355 to 776 of the family's 1533-position model. Lineage: Bacteria; Pseudomonadati; Gemmatimonadota. The record is from RNAcentral.
UAGGGAAUCUUCGGCAAUGGACGAAAGUCUGACCGAGCAACGCCGCGUGAGUGAAGAAGGUUUUCGGAUCGUAAAACUCUGUUGUUAGAGAAGAACAAGGACGUUAGUAACUGAACGUCCCCCCCCGGUAUCUAACCAGAAAGCCACGGCUAACUACGUGCCAGCAGCCGCGGUAAUACGUAGGUGGCAAGCGUUGUCCGGAUUUAUUGGGCGUAAAGCGAGCGCAGGCGGUUUCUUAAGUCUGAUGUGAAAGCCCCCGGCUCAACCGGGGAGGGUCAUUGGAAACUGGGAGACUUGAGUGCAGAAGAGGAGAGUGGAAUUCCAUGUGUAGCGGUGAAAUGCGUAGAUAUAUGGAGGAACACCAGUGGCGAAGGCGGCUCUCUGGUCUGUAACUGACGCUGAGGCUCGAAAGCGUGGGGAGCAAACAGG